RNAcentral lists this ribosomal RNA (495 nucleotides) under uncultured bacterium. RNAcentral describes it as "partial 16S ribosomal RNA". It matches the Rfam family "Bacterial small subunit ribosomal RNA", at positions 28 to 507 of the family's 1533-position model. The record is from RNAcentral.
GAUGAACGCUGGCGGCGUGCCUAAUACAUGCAAGUAGAACGCUGAAGGAGGAGCUUGCUCUUCUGGAUGAGUUGCGAACGGGUGAGUAACGCGUAGGUAACCUGCCUGGUAGCGGGGGAUAACUAUUGGAAACGAUAGCUAAUACCGCAUGACAACAGUUAUUGCAUGAUAACUGUUUAAAAGGGGCAACUGCUCCACUACCAGAUGGACCUGCGUUGUAUUAGCUAGUUGGUGAGGUAACGGCUCACCAAGGCGACGAUACAUAGCCGACCUGAGAGGGUGAUCGGCCACACUGGGACUGAGACACGGCCCAGACUCCUACGGGAGGCAGCAGUAGGGAAUCUUCGGCAAUGGACGGAAGUCUGACCGAGCAAUGCCGCGUGAGUGAAGAAGGGUUUCGGAUCGUAAAGCUCUGUUGUAAGAGAAGAACGAGUGUGAGAGUGGAAAGUUCACACUGUGACGGUAUCUUACCAGAAAGGGACGGCUAACUACGUG